Molecule: non-coding RNA, 1087 nt
Organism: Phascolarctos cinereus (koala)
Lineage: Eukaryota; Metazoa; Chordata; Mammalia; Diprotodontia; Phascolarctidae
Source: RefSeq, a predicted model, not a curated record
GAUGAGGGUCCAAAGGGUGGGGGACCGAAAGGUGGGGGACGGAAGGGUGGGGAACCGAAAGAUGAGGGACCGAAGGAUGAAGGACCGAAGGAUGGGGGACCGAAAGGUGAGGGACCGCAGGAUGGGGUACCGAAAGGUGGGGGACCGAAGGAUGAGGGACCGAAGGAUGGGGUACCGAAGGGUGAGGGACCACAGGAUGGGGUACCGAAAGGUGGGGGACCGAAGGAUGAGGGACCGAAGGAUGGGGUACCGAAAGAUGAGGGACCGAAGGAUGGGGGACCGAAAGGUGGGGGACCGAAGGGUGGGGAGCGAAGGGUGGGAGACCGAAGGGUGAGGGACCGAAGGAUAGGGGACCGAAAGGUGGGGGACCGAAGGGUGGGUUCGCCAGAUACAGACGGGAGUGCCAGCAGAGCAUCCGCAACUACUUCCUCAAAAACUGCUCCGGGGAGUUUAAAGUCAUCUCUGUGAUAUUACUGAUAGCAUCAUAUCUCUUGAUGAAAAAAACCAAAAUAGCCAGUGUGUUCGUUCCAUUGGUCUUAAUGAUAGAAUCCUUCCUCUUUUUUUUCUUCAUUUUUGCGAAUAUACUGGCAUUACCAAGAUAUUUAACAAAGCUGAUAUGGCCCAUUUUUGAUAUUCUCAAUGAUUUUUUUGCAUUUGUAUACCUUGCCUAUGCAGGCUUCUAUUCAAUAAUUCACCCACCAGGCACUAUGGAUAAACUAUACUGGCAAGUAGCUGGACUCAUACUUUCUGUUGCCUUCUUGUCUCUACUAGAUAUUGUUGUACAAACCCUGCUGCUUAAGUACAGGACGGUGAAAGCUAUAUCUGCCCCUCCACCCAGACAGAAGACUUAGCACACUUAAAAUCUCAUGGAAAACAAAGCAUGUAGCCCGCUUCUCUUUUACUAAGAUGAUUUUCUUUUCCUCUAAAAUUCCCAUUUUGACAUUUUCAUGGCAAAGUGCUUUCCCAAAAAAUAAUGUAUGGAAGUCUUUUUUUUCCCCCAGAGGAAUACCAAUUUUAACUUUACCAAAUAAAGUUCUCUUCUGACACUUCACCUUGGCCCAGACAGAAGAAGCCCUGGGUUCUUGGA